GACGAACGCUGGCGGCGUGCUUAACACAUGCAAGUCGAACGGAAAGGCCCCUUUGGGGGUACUCGAGUGGCGAACGGGUGAGUAACACGUGAGUAACCUGCCCUUGACUUCGGGAUAACUUCAGGAAACUGGGGCUAAUACCGGAUAGGAAUCCUUGCUGCAUGGUGGGGGUUGGAAAGCUUCGGCGGUUUUGGAUGGACUCGCGGCUUAUCAGCUUGUUGGUGGGGUAGUGGCUUACCAAGGCUUUGACUGGUAGCCGGCCUGAGAGGGCGACCGGCCACAUUGGGACUGAGAUACGGCCCAGACUCCUACGGGAGGCAGCAGUGGGGAAUAUUGCACAAUGGGCGGAAGCCUGAUGCAGCAACGCCGCGUGCGGGAUGACGGCCUUCGGGUUGUAAACCGCUUUCAGCAGGGGCGAAGCUUGUGGUGACGGUACCUGCAGAAGAAGCACCGGCUAACUACGUG
RNAcentral lists this ribosomal RNA (465 nucleotides) under uncultured bacterium. Its description in RNAcentral is "partial 16S ribosomal RNA". It matches the Rfam family "Bacterial small subunit ribosomal RNA", at positions 28 to 507 of the family's 1533-position model. The record is from RNAcentral.